This 329-nucleotide unclassified non-coding RNA is filed under the name soil metagenome. Its description in RNAcentral is "partial contains 5.8S ribosomal RNA, internal transcribed spacer 2, and large subunit ribosomal RNA". The stretch from base 1 to 120 matches the Rfam family "5.8S ribosomal RNA", at positions 35 to 154 of the family's 154-position model. The record is from RNAcentral.
GAUGAAGAACGUAGCGAAAUGCGAUAAGUAAUGUGAAUUGCAGAAUUCAGUGAAUCAUCGAAUAUUUGAACGCACAUUGCGCCCCCUGGUAUUCCGGGGAGCAUGCCUGUCCGAGCGUCAUUACAACCCUCAAGCUCAGCUUGGUGUUGGGCCCCGCCGCCCCGGCGGGCCCUAAAGUCAGUGGCGGUGCCGUCCGGCUCCGAGCGUAGUAAUUCUUCUCGCUCUGGAGGUCCGGUCGUGUGCUCGCCAGCAACCCCCAAUUUUUUUCAGGUUGACCUCGGAUCAGGUAGGGAUACCCGCUGAACUUAAGCAUAUCAAUAAGCGGAGGA